Molecule: long non-coding RNA, 154 nt
Organism: Solanum pennellii
Lineage: Eukaryota; Viridiplantae; Streptophyta; Magnoliopsida; Solanales; Solanaceae
Exons: 2
Source: RefSeq, a predicted model, not a curated record
UUCAAUUUCCGUUAUGAUUUACUCUCCAAUGGCUGAAUCCAAGAGGCUUACUAGAGAAAGAGGGUAAGAACAUUUACAAGACUCAUUGGUGUGCAAAACCUUCCUCAAAUUCAGAACGCAAAUGUAGAAUCUUUGUCUACUCGUGAGGAUCUUG